RNAcentral lists this transfer RNA (74 nucleotides) under Candidatus Mycoplasma haematolamae str. Purdue. RNAcentral describes it as "Candidatus Mycoplasma haemolamae str. Purdue tRNA". It matches the Rfam family "tRNA". Rfam says of the family: Transfer RNA (tRNA) molecules are approximately 80 nucleotides in length. Their secondary structure includes four short double-helical elements and three loops (D, anti-codon, and T loops). Lineage: Bacteria; Bacillati; Mycoplasmatota; Mollicutes; Mycoplasmatales; Mycoplasmataceae. The record is from Rfam by way of RNAcentral.
GGCAGGAUAUCUCAGUUGGUUAGAGAAGUCGGCUCAUAUUCGAAAGGUCGUGGGUUCGAGUCCCACUCCUGCUA